UACGUAAGGCGCAAGCGUUGUCCGGAAUUAUUGGGCGUAAAGAGCUCGUAGGCGGUUUGUCGCGUCGACCGUGAAAACUUGGGGCUUAACUCCAAGCUUGCGGUCGAUACGGGCAGACUUGAGUUCGGCAGGGGAGACUGGAAUUCCUGGUGUAGCGGUGAAAUGCGCAGAUAUCAGGAGGAACACCGGUGGCGAAGGCGGGUCUCUGGGCCGACACUGACGCUGAGGAGCGAAAGCGUGGGGAGCGAACAGG
This 253-nucleotide ribosomal RNA is filed under the name uncultured bacterium. RNAcentral describes it as "partial 16S ribosomal RNA". It matches the Rfam family "Bacterial small subunit ribosomal RNA", at positions 524 to 776 of the family's 1533-position model. The record is from RNAcentral.